This is a long non-coding RNA of Columba livia (rock pigeon), 2914 nucleotides long. RefSeq lists it as uncharacterized. Lineage: Eukaryota; Metazoa; Chordata; Aves; Columbiformes; Columbidae. The transcript is spliced from 5 exons. The record is from RefSeq and is a predicted model, not a curated record.
GCCAACUUGCUGGCCAAUUCAUUUCCUAUUUAAUUUAAGUGGCAUAUCUGUCUUCCCCUUUCUGGUAUGUCUUUUGUCUGCUGCACACCCAUACUGGCAUGGCAAGAGACGCCUGCAGUAGAUCUUUUCAGGUACUCUUGGUUUUAAAACAACUCACCAUAAGAAGCAGAGCUGAUGGUCAGAGCACAGGUGUUGGGGCCACACUCUUAAAUCCCUUCCCAUAGUGUGUCAGUUCAUGGUAGAACUUUGGAGAACAAAGAAGGUGGAUCCACUGUUGUGAAGAGCCCAUGGGGUGAAGAUCCACCUCAAGAAGGUCAACUUCUCAGCGGUCAAAUCAUUCAGAUGUCCAGAUGCAGGCACGACAUUGCAGACACACAGUUCCAGGGAAUGCAUACUGCUCGGUGGAGAACCGGGUCCUCAGAGAUCACAGCUGCUAUGAGAACAUCCAUCACUCAAUGGCAGAUCAGAGCUAUCCAGUCCAGUGCAUGCACUGACACAGCUUUUUUACAUUCUGUUGAAGAUCCUGUUAACAAGCAUGAUGUCCACAGCAGAGGAAAUUACUUGAAGUUUGUAAAAUGAGCCAAGGAAGGUGCACAUUACUAAUCACAUAAAAUAAAAUAAUUUUCACUUGUUAGGGUUUAUAUAGUACAUAGAAAAAGCUAUGGUUUGGGCAUAUAAUAACAAUGGCUAUGGGGGUUGAAUUACUUUUCUCUGGGCAUCAAGAGAAAAGUUGCAGUAGUUCUACUGCAAAAUGAAUUCAUCCCUCAAAUGCAUUCAGGCAUCAAAAGCAAUUCCUACUGUUUUAGGAUAUGAAAAAUUGAUUUGAAAUAUUCAGCAGCAUAAAAAAAAAUAUCUGUAACCACAUUGGUAGAUGUCUUUGUCUAGUAUGUGCAUUCGGAAAAUUGGGAGCAUUUCUUUAGCACUUUCCACUUUAAAAAAACAGAAUAUUUAAAUGGCAAACAUGAAGCUGUCAGCCCAUGCAGUUUCACUGUGGGGAGGUUAUCACAUGAAGCUUUUCUGUGUUAUUCAUUGCUUGCAGCUCUUCCAAUCAGAUAACCUUAACAAACGUGGUGCUAUCACUUGCCAGAUGUGGUACAUGCUAUGCAAUGUCUAGUUUUUGAUGGACUAAAAUGGAGCUGAGAAUUCUUCUCUUGAUGUUAUCAAUAAUCAGUCACACUAUGAGAUUCACAAAGAGUAUCUCAAAGUGUGCUGUCAAGUGCCAAUUAGUGAUGUUGCUGACCCAAAAGAUAAAGAAGAUUGUAGAAGAAGCAGCCCAGUAUAAUUCUCCACUCCAGUGUCCUUAAAGUGGACUAUCGUUUAUGAAUGUACUCUUGCAGAUGAAAAGGAAAUAGGAGGUCAGUGGUUCCUGUCUUAAACAAUCUUCUGCAAUCUUCUCAUAAUGAAUUGUAAAUAGUAUCACUAUCAACUUGCUCUUUCUGCACUGGAGAGCAGUGCAAAUGGCUCAGCAAAGCCAAACACUGAUAAUAUUGUUUCCCAGGACAUAGAGCUGAAGGCCAGACUCUGUCCUCCGCGUGUUGUGCCAUGUGUGGGUCUGCAUGGCUGGAGCUCAACCUGGGCUCUUGGGUGUCCUUCCUGCCUCGCCACGGCCCCCCACUUCCCCGUAGCCUUGGGGUACGUUCAUGUCACGUAGACUCUGGGCUGGAAAACUGAGCUCUUCAUCAUUUGAGGACAAUCUGAAGAUUGAUGAACAAUCAAUGGAAACAUCUUCCUUCUUCUCAAAGCAAUUCUCAGCACAAUCUGGCAAAAUGUCAUUAUCACUUAAUAUGGUUUUAUCAUGAGGUGUCCCUGCUUUCAGAACUGCAAAUGAUUUUUACAAGGUCAAAAGCAGAAUAUCAUGCCCAGGUGUUCACCAUUUUGAACUACAGAAUUAAAACCCCUUCUUAAAAAAACAAAUGUAGAGUGCUUUCCAUCUAAGGGUUACAGUAUCCAGUAGUCAGUGUAGAUAUAAUGCAUUAUUAAUUAGCAUAUACAAAUUCUAUUUAUAUUAAAAAAAGCUUGUUUAGUGAAGGAAACAUAAUUCCUGUUAUUACCAUCCUAAAUAGCAGAAAACAAAUAUUGCAUACAGAACUAAUAAAAAUACAGGAUAACAGCAACAAGUUUGGAGUAUAAUUGUACUCUACAGAUUUAUUUUUUUUUUUAUGUGGGACCACUAUUUUCCUGAUAAAUUAUGUAUGCUAACAGAAUCUUCCUGAGCAUACCUGUGUAUCUGAAUGGCAAUGUUCUGAAAGAGCAGUUUUGGAGAGACAUAUCAUAUGGAUCUAUGCAACAGGUUUGUGAAUUCUUAAAAUAUACGUGCAUGGUGGGAUCCAAAAUUGCUUCAGAGCUGCCUGGGCAAGCAUAAGAGGGUGCAAGGCUGUCCUUCACACCAUGGAGCCCCCAGACAGUUUGCUAUCAAACCAGCAAUGUAUAGUUACGCUCCAGAGUCCACUGAAGUUGAGGCAUCUCUCCAGUUCAAAUACCAUUGAAAGCAGAUAUUGCACAAACAUUAAACGAAGUUGGACAGACUUUCAGCUUAUUCAUAUGUUGGAUUCUAUGAGAACCCAGUGCAAACUUGUUGUCAAUACACGGAAGACCAGAUCAAGCUGGCCAACUAUGUCCCUGUGUCAUAAUUUAGCAUACGAGCAGAAUGAGUCCCUGGAAGGUGCCAGACAAUUAGAGGACAAGUCACAACAACAAAGGCAGUCCUAACCAGUGUGAACAUUUUUCAAGGUAUGGAAACAAUUUACAAUGUUUUCAGAACUGUGGUUCAGGUCAGUUCGUUUUUAUGCUCUCCCAUAUGGUUCUGCUCCUUCUAUUUCCAGAGUGAACCCUAUUUACCUGGACUGUUACUGAGAAAAAAUAUAUUGUUUGCAGAGAAAGGGAGAGUCAUCAAUAAAGAAAACUUCUCAGGAUA